AACGAACGCUGGCGGCAUGCCUAACACAUGCAAGUCGAACGAGACCUUCGGGUCUAGUGGCGCACGGGUGCGUAACGCGUGGGAACCUGCCCUUAGGUUCGGAAUAACUCCCCGAAAGGGGUGCUAAUACCGGAUAAUGUCUUCGGACCAAAGAUUUAUCGCCUUUGGAUGGGCCCGCGUUGGAUUAGCUUGUUGGUAGGGUAAAAGCCUACCAAGGCGACGAUCCAUAGCUGGUCUGAGAGGAUGAUCAGCCACACUGGGCCUGAGACACGGCCCAGACUCCUACGGGAUGCAGCAGUGGGGAAUAUUGGACAAUGGGCGAAAGCCUGAUCCAGCAAUGCCGGGUGAGUGAUGAAGGCCUUAGGGUUGUAAAGCUCUUUUACCCGGGAUGAUAAUGACAGUACCGGGAGAAUAAGCUCCGGCUAACUCCGUG
This 433-nucleotide ribosomal RNA is filed under the name uncultured bacterium. Its description in RNAcentral is "partial 16S ribosomal RNA". It matches the Rfam family "Bacterial small subunit ribosomal RNA", at positions 29 to 507 of the family's 1533-position model. The record is from RNAcentral.